RNAcentral lists this ribosomal RNA (488 nucleotides) under Pogonognathellus mai. RNAcentral describes it as "partial large subunit ribosomal RNA". It matches the Rfam family "Bacterial large subunit ribosomal RNA", at positions 1815 to 2610 of the family's 2925-position model. The record is from RNAcentral. Lineage: Eukaryota; Metazoa; Arthropoda; Collembola; Entomobryomorpha; Tomoceridae.
ACAUUUCUUUUUGAUUAAAUUAAAAGUAAGGCCUGCCCACUGUAUAAUAUAAAGGGCCGCGGUAUUUUGACCGUGCAAAGGUAGCAUAAUCAUUAGUCUUUUUAUUGAAGAAUGGAAUGAAUGGCUUAAUAGGAUUAAUCUUUUUUUAUUAAGGAUAUAUAAUUUUGAUUAAAAGUGAAAAUACUUUUUUACUAUUAAAAGACGAUAAGACCCUAUAGAAUUUUAUAUAAUUUAUUAAAAGUUUUUUAUAUUUUAUUGGGGCAGUAAAAGAAUAAAUAAAAUUUCUUUAAAAUAUUUUUAUAAUUAAAUAAUUUAACUUAUAUUAAAAAAUUAUUAAAAAAUUACCUUAGGGAUAACAGCGUAAUUAAUUUUAAGAGUUCUUAUCGACAAAUUAUUUUGCGACCUCGAUGUUGAAUUAAAAUACCUUUUUGGUGCAGAUUUUAUUUAAGGUAGUCUGUUCGACUAUAAAAAUUUUACAUGAUUUGAGU